RNAcentral lists this small RNA (154 nucleotides) under Arabidopsis thaliana (thale cress). Its description in RNAcentral is "ATSL144740". Lineage: Eukaryota; Viridiplantae; Streptophyta; Magnoliopsida; Brassicales; Brassicaceae. The record is from RNAcentral.
CAAGUACACUACUGUAACAGGUUUAUAAAUCACUAAAUAAGGCCGCCUAUUUCGGCGGGUCUAAGAUACAAAAAUAAAUUUUUAUUGAUAGUAUUUGAAUUUUGUAUAGAUAGGCGGGCAUAAGAUACAGAAAUAAAUUUUUAUCGAUAAUAUU